Pan troglodytes (chimpanzee) is the source of this 148-nucleotide non-coding RNA. It matches the Rfam family "Metazoan signal recognition particle RNA". Rfam says of the family: The signal recognition particle (SRP) is a universally conserved ribonucleoprotein. It is involved in the co-translational targeting of proteins to membranes. The record is from Rfam. Lineage: Eukaryota; Metazoa; Chordata; Mammalia; Primates; Hominidae.
GCCAGGCGUGGUGGCGCAUGCCUGUGGUCCUAGCUACUAGGGAGGCUGAGGCAGGAAAAUCGCUUGAGCCCAGGAGGUCAAGGCUGCGGUAAGCUGUGAUCGUGCCACUGCACUCCAGCCUGGGCAACAAAGUGAGACCCUGUCUCAA